Long non-coding RNA from Pangasianodon hypophthalmus (striped catfish), 2018 nucleotides. RefSeq lists it as uncharacterized. The record is from RefSeq and is a predicted model, not a curated record. NCBI's taxonomy places the organism in Eukaryota, Metazoa, Chordata, Actinopteri, Siluriformes, Pangasiidae. The transcript has 8 exons.
AUUUUUGGAAGAAAUUUAAAAGACUUGGACAGCAAGGAUUACAGAGUAGCGAAUUUGGAUUUAGUUGUGGCAUUAAUCCAGAUUUAUGUAUCAUCAUCAUAUAACAUGAUGACUUCCUGAACGUGGUCUUUCUCGUCUGUGUGCUGGAAGAGUGAGGUUAGAUGAGUGUCAGACUGAAACACCCAGUUAGAAAAGAGGACAAAACCUCAGCAGGAGCUGAAAUGGAAAUUAUGAGCUGCACUAAUGGAGCAUGUCUCGUGUUAAAAGUACUCAGACCGGACUCCCAACCACCUGACUGAGGAGAUGCUCUGUGCUGAAACCGUAAAGGUUAGAUGAGUGUCAGACUGAAACACCCAGUUAGAAAAGAGGACAAAACCUCAGCAGGAGCUGAAAGGGAACGCAUGAGCUGAGAAAAUAAGAUGAUGUGCCGUGUCGAGUAUCCAGAUACUGCGGUUGUUUCCUGAAGUAAAGACGAGCAGCGUGUCUACAUACAGCACAGACACGUUUUUAUCCGCCCUUACAUCUGAACUUGUUUUGGUGUUGACUGCAAUGUCUUUACAAAUUUGUAAAAUUGGUUGUCAGAUCUUUUCUGUGAAGUAAAUAAAGAAUAAUAAUGUGGAAAAAUAAUGUGUGUAUGUACUGUCCCGUGUCAUACUCAGUGUUUGUAUCCAACUUUUGAUGCAUGUCAAAUACAUCCAGUUUGUUUCAGAGGUAUAUACAGGACUGAUUUGCAAACUGAUUUGUCUUUCCAAAGAUACACACACCCCUUCACUCAAAACUCUCUCUCUCUCUCUCUCUCUCUCUCUCUCUCUCUCUCUCUCUCCCUCUCUCUCUCUCUACUAAGCCUGCCUUUAAUAUGAUGCACAUGUGAGGUGGGUUUGUUUUUGUUUUUUCCCUAACAACCAAUGUAAAGUUGCUUAGAAUUGAGUCUGUGCUGCUUUUCUGUGAAUGUAUAUUAACAGCUUGGUUACGUGGCUAUUAUUAGGCUGCAUUCGACUUACCACAUAAGUGAGAUGUCUGAACUUGGAAUUACAUAAUUUUAAACCUUUGUGUUCGAGCUUCAAAGUAAGGGGUGAAAAACAUGGAUGCCUCUUGGGCAGAUUAUUCAAAAGCAUGGUCUGGGUUAUCAUUGCUAUGCAGCUGAUACCCAGAUUUAAAUUAGUACUCAACCUGAUGUUACAUCAGCACUUUCAGCUUUAUCUGCUUGUUUACUGGAAAUACAGACAGAUGAAACAGAACUUCCUACAGAUAACUGUUUGAAAACUGUGUGAUGUUUGAUGCACAGCUGACUUUUAACACUCAUUUCAAGAAUGUUACUAAAGUAGCUUUUUAUCAUCUUCGGAAUAUUGCACGUAUAAGACCGUUUCUCUCUAUGCCUGGUGCAGAAAGGCUUAUUCAUGCCUUUAUAACAUCUAGGCUUGAUUAUUGUAAUUCACUUUUUGCAGGGUUACCUGCAAAUUUGAUUAAGAGGCUGCAAUAUGUGCAAAAUUCAGCUGCUUGUGUUUUAACUUACACACCAUCCCGUAGUCAUAUCACUCCUGUGCUUUCUAAACUACACUGGCUUCCAGUUCAAUCACGUAUUGAUUUUAAAGUUCUUAUCUUAACUUAUAAAGCAGUAUAUGGGCUGGCCCCAGAGUAUAUUUGUAAUUUGGUCUCAGUGUCCACACCAUCUCUGUCUCUCCGCUCUGCUGGUUCUUACUCUGUAGCAGCCUCGCUGUAAACUCAAAACUUUGGGUGGGAGGUCAUUCUCUUGUACUGCUCCGAGGUUGUGGAAUUCUCUGCCUCUUCCUAUUAGAAAUGCUCCGUCUUUUGAUUGUUUUAAGAAAUUACUCAAAACAUAUCUCUUUAGUGAAGCUUUUAAGUUAUAAUCUUACAGUUGUUGUUGUCAUUGUUGUUAUUGUGUUGUCAUUGUGAUUACUAUUAUGGAGUUGUGUUUUUUCUUUUGUUGUGUUAUACUGUUGUAGCACCUUGAGUGUAAGAAAGGCGCAUUAUAAAUAAAAUUUAUUAUUAUUAUUAUG